UUAAAAAGCUCGUAGUCGGAUUUUGGCUGAGAACGGUCGGUCCGCCGUUAGGUGUGCACUGACUGGUCUCAGCUUCCUGGUGAGGAGGUGUGCUUCAUCGCCACUUAGUCACCGUGGUUACUUUGAAAAAAUUAGAGUGUUCAAAGCGGGCUUACGCUUGAAUAUAUUAGCAUGGAAUAACACCAUAGGACUCCUGUCCUAUUUCGUUGGUCUCGGGACGGGAGUAAUGAUUAAGAGGAACAGUUGGGGGCAUUCGUAUUUCAUUGUCAGAGGUGAAAUUCUUGGAUUUAUGAAAGACGAACUUCUGCGAAAGCAUUUGCCAAGGAUGUUUUCAUUGAUCAGAACGAAAGUUGGGGGCUCGAAGAUGAUUA
RNAcentral lists this ribosomal RNA (371 nucleotides) under uncultured marine eukaryote. RNAcentral's name for it is "SSU rRNA". It matches the Rfam family "Eukaryotic small subunit ribosomal RNA", at positions 619 to 1010 of the family's 1831-position model. The record is from RNAcentral.